This 397-nucleotide ribosomal RNA is filed under the name uncultured bacterium. RNAcentral's name for it is "partial 16S ribosomal RNA". It matches the Rfam family "Bacterial small subunit ribosomal RNA", at positions 523 to 918 of the family's 1533-position model. The record is from RNAcentral.
AUACGUAGGUGGCGAGCGUUGUCCGGAAUUACUGGGCGUAAAGGAUGCGUAGGUGGAUAUUUAAGUGGGAUGUGAAAUCCCCGGGCUCAACCCGGGAACUGCAUUCCAAACUGGGUAUCUAGAGUGCAGGAGAGGAAAGCGGAAUUCCUAGUGUAGCGGUGAAAUGCGUAGAUAUUAGGAGGAACACCAGUGGCGAAGGCGGCUUUCUGGACUGUAACUGACACUGAGGCAUGAAAGCGUGGGUAGCAAACAGGAUUAGAUACCCUGGUAGUCCACGCCGUAAACGAUGGGUACUAGGUGUAGGAGGUAUCGACCCCUUCUGUGCCGUCGUUAACACAAUAAGUACCCCGCCUGGGGAGUACGGUCGCAAGACUAAAACUUAAAGGAAUUGACGGGG